ACGCACGCUGGCGGCGUGCUUCACACAUGCCAGUCGAACGGAAAGGCCCUGCUUUUGUGGGGUGCUCGAGUGGCGAACGGGUGAGUAACACGUGAGUAACCUGCCCUUGACUUUGGGAUAACUUCAGGAAACUGGGGCUAAUACCGGAUAGGAGCUCCUGCUGCAUGGUGGGGGUUGGAAAGUUUCGGCGGUUGGGGAUGGACUCGCGGCUUAUCAGCUUGUUGGUGGGGUAGUGGCUUACCAAGGCUUUGACGGGUAGCCGGCCUGAGAGGGUGACCGGCCACAUUGGGACUGAGAUACGGCUCAGACUCCUACGGGAGGCAGCAGUGGGGAAUAUUGCACAAUGGGCGGAAGCCUGAUGCAGCAACGCCGCGUGCGGGAUGACGGCCUUCGGGUUGUAAACCGCUUUCGCCUGUGACGAAGCGUGAGUGACGGUAAUGGGUAAAGAAGCACCGGCUAACUACGUG
RNAcentral lists this ribosomal RNA (467 nucleotides) under uncultured bacterium. Its description in RNAcentral is "partial 16S ribosomal RNA". It matches the Rfam family "Bacterial small subunit ribosomal RNA", at positions 29 to 507 of the family's 1533-position model. The record is from RNAcentral.